This 421-nucleotide ribosomal RNA is filed under the name uncultured bacterium. Its description in RNAcentral is "bacterial SSU rRNA". It matches the Rfam family "Bacterial small subunit ribosomal RNA", at positions 29 to 435 of the family's 1533-position model. The record is from RNAcentral.
AACGAACGCUGGCGGCGUGCCUAACACAUGCAAGUCGAACGAGAAAGGGGCUUCGGCCCUGAGUAAAGUGGCGCACGGGUGAGUAACACGUAGGUAACUUGCCUCCAAGAUCGGGAUGACCCGUCGAAAGACGAGCUAAUACCGGAUAAGACCACGGCUUCUUCGGAAGCAGGGGUCAAAGAUGGCCUCUACUUGUAAGCCAUCACUUAGAGAUGGGCCUGCGCACCAUUAGCUAGUUGGUAGGGUAACGGCCUACCAAGGCAAGAUGGUUAGCUGGUCUGAGAGGAUGAUCAGCCACACUGGAACUGAGACACGGUCCAGACUCCUACGGGAGGCAGCAGUGGGGAAUAUUGCGCAAUGGGCGAAAGCCUGACGCAGCAACGCCGCGUGAGUGAUGAAGGCCUCGGGUCGUAAAGCUCUG